UUGCAAUGUCUGUCUAUUUAGGAGGGAAACUUCAAACCAACAAAAAAUGAACAAGAUCAUGCGUUUCUGCUGCAGCUUCUGUUCUGGUUCAAGCAAUCAUUCAGGUGGGUAAAUGCUCCUCCUUGCGACAGUUGCAACAAUGAGACAGUAAGUCAAGGGAUGGGAGUGGCUAAUCCAUCUGAAUCACUUUACAGAGCUUCUCGAAUUGAACUUUAUCGCUGCAAGUUAUGCUCAAAUGUAACUCGCUUCCCAAGAUACAAUGAUCCAAUGAAGGUACUAAGUUUUUGCAUCUGAGGUUUU
Molecule: long non-coding RNA, 300 nt
Organism: Olea europaea var. sylvestris
Lineage: Eukaryota; Viridiplantae; Streptophyta; Magnoliopsida; Lamiales; Oleaceae
Exons: 3
Source: RefSeq, a predicted model, not a curated record